GACGAACGCUGGCGGCGUGCUUAACACAUGCAAGUCGAACGGUAAGGCCCUUUCGGGGGUACACGAGUGGCGAACGGGUGAGUAACACGUGGGUGAUCUGCCCUGCACUUUGGGAUAAGCCUGGGAAACUGGGUCUAAUACCGGAUAGGACUACGCGAUGCAUGUCGUGUGGUGGAAAGCUUUUGCGGUGUGGGAUGGGCCCGCGGCCUAUCAGCUUGUUGGUGGGGUGAUGGCCAACCAAGGCGACGACGGGUAGCCGGCCUGAGAGGGUGUCCGGCCACACUGGGACUGAGAUACGGCCCAGACUCCUACGGGAGGCAGCAGUGGGGAAUAUUGCACAAUGGGCGCAAGCCUGAUGCAGCGACGCCGCGUGGGGGAUGACGGCCUUCGGGUUGUAAACCCCUUUCAGCACAGACGAAGCGUAAGUGACGGUAUGUGCAGAAGAAGCACCGGCCAACUACGUG
RNAcentral lists this ribosomal RNA (464 nucleotides) under uncultured bacterium. RNAcentral's name for it is "partial 16S ribosomal RNA". It matches the Rfam family "Bacterial small subunit ribosomal RNA", at positions 28 to 507 of the family's 1533-position model. The record is from RNAcentral.